This 404-nucleotide ribosomal RNA is filed under the name uncultured bacterium. Its description in RNAcentral is "bacterial SSU rRNA". It matches the Rfam family "Bacterial small subunit ribosomal RNA", at positions 355 to 776 of the family's 1533-position model. The record is from RNAcentral.
UGGGGAAUAUUGGACAAUGGGCGAAAGCCUGAUCCAGCAAUGCCGCGUGAGUGAUGAAGGCCUUAGGGUUGUAAAGCUCUUUUACCCGGGAUGAUAAUGACAGUACCGGGAGAAUAAGCCCCGGCUAACUCCGUGCCAGCAGCCGCGGUAAUACGGAGGGGGCUAGCGUUGUUCGGAAUUACUGGGCGUAAAGCGUACGUAGGCGGCUUUGUAAGUUAGAGGUGAAAGCCCGGGGCUCAACCCCGGAAUUGCCUUUAAGACUGCUAGGCUUGAAUCAUGGAGAGGUGAGUGGAAUUCCGAGUGUAGAGGUGAAAUUCGUAGAUAUUCGGAAGAACACCAGUGGCGAAGGCGACUCACUGGACAUGUAUUGACGCUGAGGUACGAAAGCGUGGGGAGCAAACAGG